CGCAUAGCUCAGUUGGUAGUAGCGCAUGACUGUUAAUCAUGAUGUCGUAGGUUCGAGUCCUACUGGCGG
This 69-nucleotide transfer RNA is filed under the name Streptococcus agalactiae GB00654. RNAcentral describes it as "tRNA-Asn". It matches the Rfam family "tRNA", at positions 6 to 65 of the family's 71-position model. Rfam says of the family: Transfer RNA (tRNA) molecules are approximately 80 nucleotides in length. Their secondary structure includes four short double-helical elements and three loops (D, anti-codon, and T loops). Further hydrogen bonds mediate the characteristic L-shaped molecular structure. tRNAs have two regions of fundamental functional importance: the anti-codon, which is responsible for specific mRNA codon recognition, and the 3' end, to which the tRNAs corresponding amino acid is attached (by aminoacyl-tRNA synthetases). tRNAs cope with the degeneracy of the genetic code in two manners: having more than one tRNA (with a specific anti-codon) for a particular amino acid; and 'wobble' base-pairing, i.e. permitting non-standard base-pairing at the 3rd anti-codon position. The record is from RNAcentral. Lineage: Bacteria; Bacillati; Bacillota; Bacilli; Lactobacillales; Streptococcaceae.